GACGAACGCUGGCGGCGUGCUUAACACAUGCAAGUCGAACGAAGUGGCGAACGGGUGAGUAACGCGUAAUCAACCUGCCCUUCAGAGGGGGACAACAGUUGGAAACGACUGCUAAUACCGCAUACUGAAUGAGGGGAUUGCGUCUGAUUAGCUAGUUGGGGGGGUAACGGCCCACCAAGGCGAUGAUCAGUAGCCGGGCUGAGAGGAUGAACGGCCACAUUGGGACCUGGACACGGCCCAGACGCCUACGGGAGGCAGCAGUGGGGAAUCUUCCGCAAUGGACGAAAGGCUGACGGAGCAACGCCGCGGGAGUUAUGACGGGCCUCGGGUUGUAAAGCUAUGUUAAUCGGGACGCGGUACCGGAAGAGAAAGCCACGGCUAACUACGUGCCAGCAGCCGCGGUAAUAC
Molecule: ribosomal RNA, 408 nt
Filed under: uncultured bacterium
Lineage: Bacteria
Description: partial 16S ribosomal RNA
Rfam family: Bacterial small subunit ribosomal RNA
Source: RNAcentral